This 24136-nucleotide long non-coding RNA is filed under the name Vigna radiata. RNAcentral describes it as "long non-coding RNA (VRAD_LNC000256)". The record is from RNAcentral. Lineage: Eukaryota; Viridiplantae; Streptophyta; Magnoliopsida; Fabales; Fabaceae.
UAAAGCAACAGGAAUCCAUGUAUUCAAAGAGGAAAACAACAUCAUGGAAGACAUUCGGUUUGAUGAUCCUUAUAUCAUGGAAGAAGAAGAAAAGGAGGAAGAAAAGGAAGAAGGAGAAGAAGAAGAGGAAGAAAAAGAAGAAAAGGCAGAAGAAGAAAAUAGCAUCAUGGAAGACACCAUGGAAGAAGAAGGAAGAAGAGGAAAAAGAAGAAAACUGCAUCAUGGAAGACAUUCCUGGUUUGAUGAUCCAUAUACCAACAAGAAAAGGAAGAAGGGGAAGGAGAAGAGGAACAAGAAGAAAAAGAAAAAUAACAUGCAGAAGAAGAAGAAAAUAGCUUCAUGGAAGACAUUGCAUUUGAUGUUAUAUCACGGAAGACAUCAUGGAAGAAGAGAGAAAAAAAAAGAAGAAAACAACAUCAUGAAAGACACCAUGGAAGAAGAAGGAAGAAGAGGAAAAAGAAGAAAACAGCAGCAUGGAAGCCAUUCGGUUUGAUGAUCCAUGUACCGACAAGAAAUUAGACAAAGAUCUCAACCCUUCUCAAUCACAAAACCACUUGUUAAGAACCUUAGGUUUCUUCAUAGGCUUUUUUCUUUUUUCUUUUCGUGCUUAUGUUUUUAACUUUAUUUACUAGCCUCAGCACCAACUCAACUAGGAUAUGAGCGAGAUAAUUUCAUUUUUAUUAUAUAUAUCAAUAUAUAUAUAUAUAUAUAUAUAUAUAUAUAUAUAUAAUUAUAAAUCUAUAAAACUAUAAAAUUUUAAAAUUUUAAAAUUAUAGAAUUAUAUAUGGUUUUCACAUUUAUUUUAUUAAAUACAAAUUACUGUUUUUCUUUCUAAUUACAAUUGAAUCUUAAAUCUCUUUCCUAUCUAUAAAUAAUCCUAUUUGUGUUUUUUUCUCUUGUUCAUUAUACUAUUUUUUUAAAAAGGUGUUCAUAAGAUUUAGAGAUUUUUUUGCAGUUUAAAAGUUCUUCGUUGCAUUCAAUUGAUCCGCAAGGAUGUUGUAUCUUAAGAUGAUAACCCAUAAUAUUAUGUCUUGCUCUGUAUAGUAUGUUGGGAGAGUAACACAUAAUAUUAUGUUUUGUCCUGUACACUGGUGGUGACGUUUUGUCUUUAAGGAUAAUGUUCUAUUUGUUAUAAAUAUUAUUUGAGUUUAUUAAUAUUUUUUUAUACAUAUCUCUGUCUUUUAUUUUAUUCAUCUACUUUUCUAACACUUCCUUUGAGAAAACUUUCCAUAAAAGAAUUGUCAGUUUCAUUUUAAAAUCUUACUAGAUUCCAUCAAUUAAAUAGCAUUGUCUUUACGCAUAUAUUGUCUAAUUUUAUUCUUUAUAGAUGCAAGGGUGGAAAUGGAUAAAAUCAAAAUGCCAAUAUAGUGGAAGAUUUGUCCAUGCAGGUGAUAAAAUCAACAAAUGAUUGGUUUAAUUUUCAAAACAUAAAAAAUAACAAAAAAAAUAAAACGGUUAAGUGCAAUUUCUCCUAUAUUUUUCUCGUUUACAGGAUUUGAACCUAAACUUUGCUUUAAGAAACCCAAACAAAUGGCACUCAAACAAAAAACACAUAUCGGUUAAAUCUGGUUGUUUUUUUUAUGAGCAUUGAACUUGUUUUUCCUCAUAGACAUGUUCUUUAAUCUUUCAGUCCUUUUUUCUUGAUAAAAUCAUUUAAUAAAGUGAAUUUCUUUUAAUUAAAGCAAAGAAUGUCUUUGCAUUGAUAUAAUCGACUGAAUAUAAAUGGGAAUAUAAUAUAGAUUACAGAUAUGCAAAACAGAAUCAUAUCAAUAAACAUUUUUCUGAUAUAACAAUCAGUUCAAAUAUGGCUGUAAAAAGUUUCGUCCAUAUUAGUAAUACCUAAACUCUAUUUGGAUACAAUUUUCAUCAGAUUUUGUUCACUUAAAGGGAUUUGAAGGAGAGUAAUUGAAUGAAUUUGAGAGGAUCUGAAGAUAAAUUUUUUGUUUUAUUUGAGUAGAUUUGGAGGUAAGUGAAAAUGUAUUUGGAAGUAAAGUUUAUGAGAAUUAGUUUAUUAUUUAAUUUAUAUGACAGAUUAAACAAAUUUACUUCUAAAUUAACUCUCACUUACGUCGAAAUCCAAUCAAAUAAACAGUAAAAAAAAAUUAUCUUCAAAUCCUCUCAAAUUCAUUCACUUACUCUCCUCUAAAUCCUUUUAAGUGAAGAAAACAUAAAUCUAAUUAAAUUACAGCAACACUUCCUUGCUUUCUAUUUAUAAGACCAAAUUGCACAUCAUGUCUAAGAAAAAUGGUUCACUAUUUAAUAGAAACAGAUCUGUUUAUAUAGAUAUAUACUUUAUUAUACUUUUAUAAUAAAUUUAUACUUUAUUAUGUGUAAAUUUAAACACCAAGUAUUCUAAAUAAUUGUAUGUACACAGAGAAAUUUUGAAGAACUUUGAUGAAGACCUGUGUUGUAACGUAGAGUAAGGGUUAUGCAUGAUGUUCACUUUUGUGACAAAAGAGAGGAAAAAAAGAGAAUUUUCUAUGAAAUUCAUUCCUAUAAUAAUUAACACUGCUGUGAUAUUUCCAAUGUUGAUCCCUUUUUCAGAACAUUUUAGAAUAACCUCAGUUUUUAAAAGAGAUUGAUACUUUUAGCAAAAAUAAUUUUUGAUGAGAAAAAACAUUGUAGAAUAAGAAUUUAAAAGUAAAUACUUAUUUUAUCACUAACAUUGGAGAUUAUUUGGACAAAGAUAUAUAUGAACGCAUCUUCCUUUUUCUUUUCCUUUUGACUAUUAUGAAGGCAAUUCAAGAGUCUAUGAUGGCCAUCACUGUGCUCUCUCAUAACUAUGCUUCUUCCUCCUUCUGCUUAGACUCAAUAGUUAUCUGUAGAGGACUCACUAAAACAAAUUCAAAUAUAAUUCGUAAUUCAUAUGUUAUUUGAAUCACAUUCUAGUACAAAAAAAUGGACAAAGUUCCACACAAAGUUUAAAAGCAAUGACAAGAGCAUUUUAUUAAAUAUUAUUUAAUUUUGUCAAAGAUUGAAAAUGAGUAUAUGUUAACAUGAAUACGGACUCUCAAGGUUCAGUGGUCCUGCUAUUUGUUAAAUUUAACGCGUUGCCGUAGCCUAAUUGAACACUUUUAUUCCACAAUUCUGUUUUUUGACCAACAAAGAUGGAAAUUGAUUACAGAGACUGCUAUGAUCGGAUUUUUAGUUUGAUUAGUAUUCUAGACCUAUAUUUAAAGUCCAGAUAAAUUAUUUUUUACUUUCUAAAAUAUUAUUCAGUGGAUAGAGUUUUAAAUUGAUAGAAAAUUAAUUAUUAGUUGUGUAAUAAUAAAUGUGUAAUGUUUUUAGAGUACGUAAGUAAAAAGAAAAGAAAAAUUAAGAUUGAGAACAAAACUAAAAAACAAAUAGUAAGUAAUAAAUGUGACAAAGAAACAAUUAUUCUAAAUAAAUCACUUGUGUAAAAAUAAAUAUUUUUCAUUGCUGGAAAUAUAGUUUCGAAAGACUUUAUAUAUAUAAGUAAGAAAAUAGUGCAAACAAAUAUUUUAAAACCAUUAUGAAUAAAUGUGGAUUAAAUAAAUUAAACUUAAUCAAACAAAUCAAUUUAAACAGAAAGGUUUGGAUAGAUAGAAUUAACAAAGUGAAAAUGAAGUCAAACAACCAGUUAUGUGAUUUUAUAGUAUAUUAUCUUUAUAAGAUGAACAUAAGUUUAGUAUUAUUGUGUUGACUACAGUUUGCAUAGACCAAAACUGAAGCACGGUAAUUAUGGUUUGGUGCUCUACUCUACUUUACACUUUACUCUUCUAAUUUCAUGUUUAUACAAAGUUUGAUUCCCUUACAGUCCCAACACGACCACCAUUAUCACUCUAAAUUUUGUUCCGAUGGCUAUUCAGAAUUCCCCUCAUUCACAUAUGAUGUGUUCCUCUGCUUUUCAGGGGAAGACACGCAUCAUGGUUUCACUGGCAAUCUUUACAUAAUAUCCAUUAUUUCCUGUUGUUACUGAAGAUUACAGUGAUGUAAAUUCGAAUUUUGAUUUUGAUUUUGACUGUGAAGCACUUGAAAAGCCGAAUAAAAGAUGAAAAAUUUAAGUUUAUGGAAGAGUAUGGUUGGGAUAAACUUAAAUUUUAAGGGUUUAUUAGUAAUUUUGUUUGAAUCUUAUUUUAUUAGUUUGAGUCUAGUAAUAUUUAGUUUGAUUUUGAUAAAGAUAAAAUAGGGAUAGAUAGUUUUGAUUUUCCAUUUAUUUAGAUGCAAUAUUAUUUUAUUUUGUUGAUUUAAGACAGAGAUAGAUUAAGUAGUUUUUUUUAUUUUGAGUUAAUUAUAUUUUGUUUUUAGUUUUUAUUAUUUGUAUUUAGUCCAAAACUAUUUGCAUUUAUUUAAAGAUUACCAAAGUUUAAUGAAAACAACUAUGGUGAAUUGAAGAGUUCAAUUAUUAGUUUUUUUUUUAAUUGUUUUUAUGUAGUAUAAGUUUCUUUUAAGGAGGAAACAGUUCCUUCAACUAACUAAAGCAAGAGACAGCUAGUCAUGAAAUUAUUGUUCCUAGACAUUAAUAUAAUAGACAAAGGAGAGAGCUACAGACAGAGAAGUAUAGAAUGCUCUUGUUUCAUAAUCCAAAACUCUCAUAUCUCCAGCCCAUAGAUAAGGACAGGGACUUAGCUUAGGACUGCAGGAAAGAGGAUAGCCACUAGGCCGGNUACUCUAUAUAAAUAUAAUAGAAAAGCACUCCAAAUAUAUGGGAAAGCAUCUUAUAUAGGAUAAAGAAAUCCAUAUUGGCUUACAGGGCUUAUCCCUACUCUUAUGCUUGACUAGCCAUUUUGCAAGUUUAACUUGCAAAAAAAGAACCGGGGACACGUAUAGCUCAAAUCAUUGGCUGUGUAAUUUUGUUGUUUUGGACAGGGUCUUUUUCAUAAAAAGGAUUUACUUCCUUGAAUGUUGUUGAAUGGUUUCUUAGUUUCCUAUUUCCUUAAUUUAAGUGUUAAUUUAUGUUGCAUUAUAAGAUCUGAAUGUUUAAUUCUUAUAUUAGAUUAGAAAACAGGUUUCUUACUUCGAAGAAACCUAUCAUAUUGUUUGCUAUAUAAGAAUUAUUUGAGUUGACUAAUAUCUUUUUAUCCAUAUCUCUCUGUCUUUGUCUAGUUGUCUUUUAUUUUAUUUAUUAGUUUUGUAACACUUCCUUUGAAAAAACUUUUCAUAAAAGAAUUGCAAGUUUCAUUUCAAAAUCUUACUGGACUCCAUCACUUAAAUAGCAUUGUGUUGACGUAUGCAUUGUCUGAUUUUAUUCUUUAUAGAUGAAAGGGUGGAAAUAGGUAAAAUCAAAAAGCCAAUAUAGUGGAAGAUUUGUCCAUAUAGGUGAUAAAAUCAACAAAUGAUUGGCUUAAUUUUGAAAACAUAAAAAAGAAAAUAAAAUAUAUCGGUUAGAACUCAAUAGAGCUAAGUGCAAUUUCUCCUAUAUUUUUUUCAUUUACAGGAUUUGAACCUACUCUUUGCUUCAAGAAACUCAAACAAUGUCACUCAAACAAAACAACAUAUAUUAAUUAAAUCUAGUAGGGUUUUUUUAGCAUUGUACUUGUUUUUCCUCAUAAUUGACAUGUUCUUUAAUCUCGAAGUCAUUUUUUCUUGAAACAAUCAUUUAACACAGUAAAUUUCUUUUAAUUAAAGCAAAGAGUGUCUUUACAAUGAUAUAAUCGGUUGAAUACAAAUGGGAAUAUAAUACAGAUUACAGAUGUGCAAAACUGAAUCAUAUCAAUAAACAUUUUUUUGUAUAACAAUCGGUUCAAAUAUGAUUGAAAAAAGUUUCACCCAUAUUUGUAACCUGAACUCUAUUUGGACACAAUUUACAUCCACAUCAUUAAAUGUAAUUAAAUUACAGCAACACUUCCUUCCUUUCUAUCUGUAAGACCAAAUUACUCAUCAUGGGUAAGAAAAAUGGUUCAUUAUUUGAUAGAAACAGAUUUGUUUAUAUAUAUAUAUACUUUAUUGUACUUUAUAAUAAAUUUAUACUCUAUGAUGUGUAAACUUAAACAGAUCUGUCAAUUAUUCUAAAUAAUUGUAUGUACUCUUUAUUAUGGGAAAUUUCUAAGAACAACGUAGAGUAGGAAUUAUGCAUGGUGUUGACUUUUGACAGUAAAGAGAGGAGAAAAAGAUAAUUUUCUAUGAAGUUCAUUCCUGUAAUAAUUAACACUGCUGUGGUAUUUUCAAUAUGUUUGGUAACAUUUUCUCAAUGUCAUCAUUCAGGUUUGAUUUUGGAGACAAAACAUGCCAUCUACGUAACUUUUCUUCUUCCUCACCAUCUUUACUCAUUUUAAUUUAAGGGACUGAAAAAUAGCACUUCUGUCUAUUAACAUGAGAGAACGAGAAUAGAACAUGUCUUUUGUUUUUUCUCUCAUCUAAAUUUAGAAGCCAUUUAAACACGCUUGUUCGAUAUAAAACCAACGUUCCAUUUUUCAGAAUAUUUUAGAAUAAACUCGACUCUUAAAAGAUUGAUACUUUUAGCAAAAAUAAUUUUUAAAAGUAAAUACUUAUUUUAACACUGACAUCUAGUACUGCAGAUUAUAUGCACAAAGAUAUAUGUAUGAACGCAUCUUCCUUUUUGUUUUCUUUUUGACUACGUUAAUCGAAGAUCACAGGUUACGCCGCCUGCAAGUUCUUUUAUUUUUUUAUUUAACUCUACACUUCAGUGCUUAUAUAAAUUUCAUAUUUAUUCAAAGAUUAAUUUCAUAUACACUCUAAGCUCUCAUUAAUGACCUCCCCAACAUUCACCUAUGAUGUGUUUCUCAGCUUUAGAGGGGAAGACACACGCUAUGGUUUCACUGGCAAUCUUUACAAAGCUCUUCGUGACAAGGGAACUCACACUUUCAUUGAUGAUGACAAGCUUGAGAGAGGAGAAGAAAUAACACCUGCACUUAUGAAGGCAAUUCAAGAGUCUAUGAUUGUCAUCACUGUGCUCUCUCAGAACUAUGCUUCUUCCUCGUUCUGCUUAGAUGAACUUGAAACAAUCCUUGACUGCAAGAAUAAAGGGCUACUUGUUAUACCAGUAUUUUAUAACUGGACCCUUCAGAUGUGAGACACCAGAAAGGGAGUUAUGGAGAAGCAUUGACUAAGCACCAGAAAAGGUUCAAAGAAAAGAAGGAGAAGUUGCAGAACUGGAAGAUGACACUGCGUCAAGUAGCUGACUUGUCUGGUUAUCAUUUCAAAGAUGGGUACGCCACCUUACCAAACUUUUACUUCAUAAUUUUUUUUGUUGGAUUAGAAAUAAGGCCAAUUUAUAAUAAGUGGGUGUAAAUCUUACUUUAUAAGCCGGAUUUGUGAGGUUAAGUUAGCUUAAAGUCCAUUUUUAAACAUAGUAUAAGUUAUAGUCUAUCCUAGCAAAUUAUGUUUAUUGAGCAUAUCAUUCUACUUCCAAUCGAAUCAUCUAUUAAUGUUUCACAUAUGGGAUGUAUAUACCCUCAGAGUUAUUUAAUAUGGUAUCAAAGUCAAUAUUUGUUAUUUGUUGAGUAUUUUGUUUCACCUGUUUUGGGUUUGCUAUUGGACCGCAUGGAUACAAACUUGUUAAAACAUUUUUGUUUGAAACAGAAUUGAAUAUGAAUACAAGUUUAUUGGGAGCAUUGUUGAGCGGGUCUGUAAAGAGAUUGGUUGUGGUUGUUGUUUACAUGUUGCAGAUUACCCAGUUGGACUAUAUUCACGAGUACUAGAAGUUAGGAAGCUCUUAGAGGUUGGAUGUUAUGAUGGUGUCCACAUGAUAGGCAUCCACAGAAUGGGAGGUGUAGGAAAAUCAACACUUGCUCGAGCUGUUUAUAAUGGUUUAGUUGUUGAGAAUUUUGAUAGUUUGUGUUUUCUUGAAAACGUGAGAGAAAAAUCAAACAAACAUGGGUUAGAACACCUCCAAAGCAUCCUUAUAUCACAAGUAUUAGGAAAGGAGGACAUUAACUUAACAAGUAACAAGGAAUUUCUAUGAUAAAGUGUAGGCUCAAGAGGAAAAAGAUUCUCUUGAUUCUAGAUGAUGUUGACAAUCUCAGACAGUUACGAGCACUUGACUGGUUUGGCCCCGGAAGCAGAAUCAUCAUCACAACUCGAGAUAAACAAUUGUUGGCAACUCAUCAAGUUACAAGAACAUAUGAGGUGAGGGAACUGAAUGAGAACGAUGCUCUUCGGUUGCUUACAUUGAAAGCUUUCAAAAAGGAAAAAGCUGAUCUAGAUUAUGAGUUAAUCUUGAAUCGUCUGGUAACUUAUGCAUGUGGUCUUCCAUUGGCUUUAGAAGUAAUAGGUUCCAACCUUUAUGGAAAAAGUGUGAAAGAGUGGGAAUCUUCUACCAGACAGUAUAAGAGAAUUCCUAAGAAAGAAAUCCUAGAGAUACUUAAAGUAAGCUAUGAAGCUUUGGACGAAGAAGAGAAGGUUGUUUUUCUUAACAUUGGUUGUUGCUUCAAAGGAUGUGCAUUGAGAGAGGUAGAAGAUAUUCUUGGAGCUCUUUAUGAUGAUUGCAUGAAACAUCAUAUUGGUGUGUUGGUUGAAAAAUGUAACAUGUAUAAAAGAGAAAGGGCAAAUAAGGGAAUUCACACCUGAAAUGGGUAAGGGAGAAAUGGGUAAAUUGAUAGAGAAUUCUGGUACCAAAGAAGCUGUUAGAAAGAGCACGCGUCCAGCCAAGAGAAACACCUAUUUGAAGGAUUACGUGUGAGCCAGAGGGGGCAGGCAUGUGGUAUGAAUUUUCUCCCUGAAUCUUCUCUCUAUCGGUGCUUCUUCUCUGUUCUGCUAUUAAUUCUGAAAUUCCUCUCUGUCAGGUGGAAUCUUAUAACGUACCAGCUCGGCAUCACUCACACCAUAUUUUUUACACUAUUCUAUUAGUGUUUCAUUAUUUCAGUUGUAUUGCUGUUGAAUAUACAUAUUUUCCAUACGCCUAUACUACACCCUGUUAUUACAGUGCUUUAAAUAAAAUCAGUUGUUUCAUUGGUGCUUUCAUUGCUCUUCAUGGCUGAAGCUACACGCUUGAAGGAUGUUCAAGCCGAACUAAAAACCCAAGGUAGUGAGAUUCAGAGGCUAUUGGAGCGUUUUGAGUUGAGAGAUCGUCAACAACGUGAGUACAAUGCACAGAAAGAGGCGGAAAAUCAAAAUCGAUUCGAUCAAAUACAAGCAACAUUAGAACGCUUGUUAAUGGAGAAAUCGAUGCNUCACCACCAUGAAGAGUCGACGACGAACACAUCUCCGAGACCGUUGAAUGCUGCGCUUCCUAUGCGGAAUAUUUCUCUAGAGUUUCCCCACUUUGAUGGCACAUCGUCGGUGCUUAGCUGGAUUUUCAAGGCAGAGAAAUUUUUCAAUUAUCACAACACACCGGACAUGGCUAGGGUGGACAUCGCUGCUAUGUAUUUUGAAGGUGAAGUGGUUCCUUGGUUUCAGAUGCUGCAACGUUUGGCAGCCGUUAAUACUUGGCUCGAUUUAACUCGUGCCCUUGAAUCACAAUUUGGACCUUCCCCUUUUGACUGUCCAAUGGCUGAAUUGUUUAAAUUGCAGCAAACAGGUUCUGUUUCUGAUUAUUAUCUACAAUUUAUGUCUUUGGCAAAUAGAUCAGUGGGUUUAACUGAUGAGGCACUCUUGAAUUUUUUCUUGAGCGGAUUAAAUGUUGAUAUUAAAAGGGAUGUUAUGGCAUUAUCUCCAAUUUCAUUGUUGAGGGCAGUGGCGUUGGCAAAGUUGUAUGAAGAUAAAUAUUGUCCUGCUCCAAAACCAUCUUUCACGAAACCGGUGGUCUCCUCUUAUGCAACGAAAUCUGUAUCNCAGUCAGUGCAGCAGCAAUAUCAGAAUCAGCCAAUUCAGAAUCAACGUCUACACGUGAAAACCACUCUUCCUCCCUUAUUACCUACUCCAAAUAUUUCUCCAUUAAAAACUAACAAUGUUAAGAGGAUUAGUCCGGCUGAAAUGCAAUUGAGAAGGGACAAAGGUCUCUGUUAUUUUUGUGAUGAAAAGUUUACUUUUAAUCACAAAUGUCUUAAUAGACAAUACCUUUUUCUUCAAUUAGAAGANGAGGAAAUUGGUGGGCAUGAUANUGCAACAGAGAACGCAGAAACUAUUCCCAGUGAUUGUAGGGAAGAACACCAUUUAUCUCUGAAUGCUAUGAAAGGUGGAAUGAGUGUGGGCACCAUANGAUUUUUAGCUUACAUUAACCAACUUCCUGUGCAAGUAUUGAUUGAUGGAGGCAGUUCUGAUAACUUUUUGCAGCCNCGGAUUGCUAAAUUUUUAAAACUUCCAGUAGAACCUGCUAAGUUGUUUCGUGUGAUGGUAGGGAAUGGCAAUUAUAUGACAGCUGAAGGGAAGAUUCAACAGCUUAAUAUUCAAGCACAGGGACAUUCUUUUGUCUUCCCUGUUUUCUUACUUCCUAUUUCUGGAGCCGAUCUCAUUCUUGGUGCUAGUUGGUUGAAAACCAUUGGUCCUCAUUGCCGAUUAUGAUACCUUGCAGUUGAAACUCCUUCAUGAGGGUAGAUUCACUACAUUACAAGGUGAUAAGGAAUUGGUGCCAGCUCAAGCUCAAUUACACCACAUAAGAAGGAUGGUGCACACAAAUGCUAUAGCCGAGAUUNAUAAUAUGAANUUAGUGGAAGAACAAUUCCAUUCGGGGACANUUUUGGANGCACAANNUGAUAUGAAACCGGACUUAGCAUUAUUACUGCGUACUUAUGCGUCAGUUUUUGAUACUCCUCAUCACUUACCCCCUCAAAGAUCACAUGAUCAUGCUAUUCCUCUAUUAGCAGGGUCUAAUCCGGUGAAGGUUAAGCCUUAUCGGNAUCCUCAUAGUCAAAANGAGGAGAUUGAAAGGUUGGUAGANGGGAUGUUGAAAGAAGGCAUUAUACAACAUAGCAAAAGUCCUUUUUCUUCUCCUAUUAUUUUGGUCAAGAAGAAGGAUGGCUCCUGGAGAGUUUGUACAGAUUAUAGAGCCCUCAAUGCUAUCACUAUCAAAGAUAGUUUUCCUAUUCCAACCGUAGAUGAAUUGAUUGAUGAACUCUUUGGUGCUUGUUACUUCUUUAAGUUGGAUCUCAGAUCUGGAUAUCAUCAGAUUUUAUUAAAAACCGAGGACAGGUACAAGACAGCUUUUAGAACUCACCAUGGCCAUUAUGAAUGGCUAGUCAUGCCAUUUGGAUUAAUUAAUGCACCAGCUUCCUUUCAGAGUUUAAUGAAUAACAUCUUCCACGGGUUAUUAAGAAAAUGUGUGUUGGUUUUUUUUUAUGAUAUUUUGGUCUACAGUUGCAAUUGGAAGGACCAUUUAUAUCACUUAGAAGUUGUCCUCAAGAUUCUACAGACACAUAAAUUGUUUGCCCGGUUUUCUAAGUGUUGUUUUGGUGUUACUCAAAUAGAAUACCUGGGACACACCUUAUCUGGUUCUGGAGUAGCUAUGGAUGAUAAAUAUUAGUUGUUGUACGAGCAUGGCCUCAGCCUACAAAUUUAAAGCAAUUAAGGGGUUUUCUUGGCCUCACAGGAUACUAUAGAAGAUUUGUGAAACAGUAUGCCACCAUAGCAGCACCAUUAACUGAUUUACUAAAAAGAGAUGCUUUUCACUGGACUCCAAAAACAGCAGUAGCGUUUGCACAAUUGAAAGUUGCAAUGACUUCGGCACCUGUCUUGGCUCUUCCCAAUUUUAAAGAAACAUUUGUAUUAGAAACAGAUGCUUCUGGUAUUGCAGUAGGUGUUGUCCUUAGUCAGAAUCAGCAUCCAAUUGCUUAUUUUUCAAAGAAAAUGUCUCAUAGGAUGCGAACCCAAUCUGCAUAUGUCCGAGAGCUGUAUGCUAUUACAGAAGCAUUGGCUAAAUUUAGACAUUAUUUGUUGGGACAUCACUUUAUUAUCAAGACUGACCAGAAAAGUUUGAAACAAUUGUUGGAUCAGACCCUUCAAACUCCAGAGCAACAACAAUGGUUGCCAAAAUUCUUAGGAUAUGACUUUGAGAUCCAAUAUAAAGCAGGGAAAGAAAACAUUCCUGCAGAUGCUUUAUCCAGGAGUUUUUUCAUGGCUUGGUCUGAACCUAACUGUGUUUGGCUGCAACAAUUGGUGGACUUAACUCAAAAAGACCCGAAGUUGUCUCAAGUGUAUAACAACUGUCUUCAGGGUCUCUCUCCACAUGCUGAGUAUACUAUUAAGGAGGGUCUGCUUUUUUGGAAGGGUCGAAUAAUGGUGCCUAAUAAUUCUACUCUCAUUAAGCAAAUACUCCAAGAAUUUCAUAAUUCCAAAAUCGGAGGUCAUGCCGGUAUUACUAAGACCACUAGUAUCAAUUCCACUGGACCAAUAUGCAGCAAGACAUUCGUAAAUAUAUCAAUGAAUGCCCAGUGUGUCAACAAGCGAAAGUGGAUCAUGCUUUACCCAAAGGGCUGCUGCAACCAUUGCCAAUCCCACAACAAGUUUGGGAGGAUAUUGCUAUGGAUUUUAUCACUCAUCUUCCAACCGUGAAUGGGUACACCACAAUCAUGGUUGUGGUUGACAGAUUUUCCAGCAAAGCAGUAGCAGAUGCCUUUAUUGCACAAGUGGUAAAGAUACAUGGUAUUCCAAAAUCCAUCGUAUCAGAUAGGGACCGUGUUUUUAUUAGCUCCUUUUGGCAACAACUGUUUAAAUCUCAAGGAACUACAUUAGCCAUGGGGUCCGCUUAUCAUCCUCAAUCUGAUGGCCAAACCGAGAAUUUAAACAAGACAUUAGAGAUGUAUUUAAGGUGCUAUGUGUAUGAGAAUCCUAAGUCUUGGAUUAAUAUGCUACCAUGGGCUCAGUAUUGGUAUAAUACUUCCUUUCAUCACAGUUUAGGUAUGACUCCUUUUCAAGCGCUGUUUGGCAGACUUCCACCUAAACUUGAAAGAUAUGAACAAAAUCCCAACGAUUCCAUUUCAGUGAAAGAGGCUCUGACAACAAGAGAUCAAGUCUUAUUACAACUAAAGGCUAAUUUAUUGAAAUCUCAGAACUAUAUGAAACAACAAGCAGAUAAAAAAAGGAGAGACAUUCAACUAGAGGUGGGUGAUCUGGCAUUGGUUAAGCUGCAACCAUAUCGNCAACAAUCCUUGGCCUUACGCAAAAAUCAAAAAUUGGGACUAAAGUNUUUUGGGCCAUUUGAGGUGGUGGAAAAGAUCGGAGCUGUUNCUUAUAGAUUNCAAUUACCUGACACAGCUAAAAUUNAUCCGGUGUUUCAUAUUUCUUUGCUCAAGAAAUUCCAAGGUGAUCUACCACAACAAUAUCUUCCCUUACCCCUCACAACAUCUGAGUUUGGUCCUACAGUGCAGCCCUCGAACAUACUAAGGUGUAGAGUGGUCACAAGGAAUCACAAGAAGGUCUCACAGGUACUAGUNCAGUGGGACAUUUCCGAUCCGAAAGAGGCUACCUGGGAGGAUGUAGAAGAAGUCAAACAAGCUUAUCCCUUGUUCAACCUUGAGGACAAGGUUGUUUUUGAUGAGGAGGGUAAUGUAACAUGUAUAAAAGAGAAAGGGCAAAUAAGAGAAUUCACACCUGAAAUGGGUAAGGGAGAAAUGGGUAAAUUGAUAGAGAACUCUGGUACCAAAGAAGCUGUUAGAAAGAGCACGCGUCCAGCCAAGAGAAAUACCUAUUUGAAGGAUUACGUGUGAGCCAGGAGGGGCAGGCAUGUGGUAUGAAUUUUCUCCCUGAAUCUUCUCUCUAUCGGUGCUUCUUCUCUGUUCUGCUAUUAAUUCCUGUCAGGUGGAAUCUUAUAACGUACCAGCUCGGCAUCACUCACACCAUAUUUUUUACACUAUUCUAUUAGUGUUUCAUUAUUUCAGUUGUAUUGCUGUUAAAUAUACAUAUUUUCCAUACGCCUAUACUACACCCUGUUAUUACAGUGCUUUAAAUAAAAUCAGUUGUUUCAAAAAAUCUCUCAUAAAGGUUAGUCUGCUUAGUAUAGUGGAAAUGCACGACCUAAUUGAGGACAUGGGUAAAAAAAAAUUGACCAGAAAGAAUCAGCAACAGAGCCGGAGAAUCGCAGGAGGUUAUGGUUGCCUAAAGAUAUAAUCCAAGUUUUAAAAUACAAAAUGGUAAGUGAGCUUCACCAAUGAUUGAUUUGUUUUCUUAUCUUGGUUCAGUCUUUUGUCUGUCGUAGUUCACAUCAUAGUUAUUUUUUUCUGUACAAUUUUAAAAUUUUUCUGUUUAUGUUAGUUUUUAAACUUCUCUUAAUUGGUGUCUUAAUCUUAUGCUGUGGUUGAUUCGUGCCUUUUGUGCAAUAACAGGGAACGGGUAAAAUUGAAAUCAUAUGUCUGGAUUUUUCCAUUUCUGAGAAUGAAGAAACAAUAGAAUGUGAUGAAAACACCUUCAUGGAGAUGGAAAACCUUAAAAUACUUAUCAAUAGAAAUGUUAAAUUUUCCAAAGUUCCCAAUUAUUUUCCAGAAAGUUUGAAAGUACUGGAAUGGCAUCGAUAUCCUUCAAAUUGUUUACCAUCUAAUUUUCAUCCCAAUAAACUUGUCAUAUGCAAAUUACCUGACAGUUGCUUUGCGUCUUUUGGGUUCCAUGCCUCAUCGAAGGUAAGUUUAAAGAGUAUAUUUUCCUCAUCUUGUAUAAAGUGAUAAAUGCACUUUAAAUUUAUCCCUUUGGUUCUUAUUUCCUUUCCCUUAUUUUUUUUUCUUUGCAGAAGUUCGAGAAUCUAACCAGCUUGAAUUUUGACGACUGCAAACUUUUAACACAGAUACCAGAUGUUUCUGAUCUCCAAAAUUUGGAGAAACUUUCUUUCGAAUGAUGUGAGAGUUUAACUGUAGUUCACAACUCAGUAGGUUUUAUGACUAAACUUAAANUAUUGAGUGCAGAAGGUUGCUCCAGCCUUACGAGUUUUCCACCUCUUCACUUGACCUCUCUUGAAAGACUGGAACUUUCAUAUUGUUCCAGUCUUGAGAAUUUUCCAGAAAUAUUAGGAAAUAUGGGAAACAUAAAGUGACUUGAACUGGUUAAACUUCCCAUAAAAGAGUUGCCAAUUUCAUUUCAAAAUCUCACGGGACUCAAAAAUUUACUAGUGAGAUGUGAUUUUGUUCGGUUAAGUAGCAUUUUCAUGACGCCUGAACUGUCUGAUUUUAAAGUUUAUAAUUGCAAGGGGUGGGAAUGGGAAAAAUCAGAAGAGGGUGAUCGACAAGUGGGCUCAAUCGUAUCUUCAAAACUAGAUGACUUUAUUGCUCUCUCUUGCAACCUUAAUGAUGAUUUUCUUUCAGCAGGUUUCUCGCAGUUGGCUCAAGUGAGUUAUUUAUGGCUACAAGAAAGUGAUAUCACGUUCCUUCCUGAAUGCAUCAAAGAAUUUCACAACCUGCAUGUUCUUGAUGUGAGUGAUUGCAAACUUCUUCGGGAAAUCAGAGGGGUUCCACUAAACUUAAAACAUUUCAAGGCAAAAAACUGUAUAUCAUUGACUUCCUCGGGAUCAAGCGUGUUGUUAAACCAGGUUUUGUAUUGUUUUUGAUUAAUUUGUUUUGAUAGCAGAUAGUUCAUUUGAUGAAUUGUUGAUGAACUGUGACUAGCAGCAACUUCACGAGGCUGGAGGGACAGUGUUUAUCUUUACAGGAGGAAGUGUUCCAGAGUGGUUGGAUAAACAAAGCAAGGGAGCUUCAAUCUCUUUCUGGUUUCGAAAUAAAUUCCCUGCCAAAGUUCUUUGUCUUCUUAUCGCACCUGUGCUAGGCCCUUUCGACUUGGCUAUACCCAUGGUGUACAUCAAUGGCAAAAUUAUAAAGUCUCUUUUUCAUAUGAAUAAAGAAGGGAAGAUUUUGGAAUUGGAUUAUACACAUCUCUUUGAUAUAAAAGAGUUAAAUUUCGAAGAUGAUCUUAUGGGAGUGUCUGAAAAGGAAUGGAAGCAAGUGGAGGUUACCUAUGAAGGUUUGUUUGAUACCUCCGUCAUUAAAGCAACAGGAAUUCAUGUGGUGAAAGAGGAAAGCAGGAGCAUGGAGGACAUUCGAUAUGAUGAUCCUUAUUCCAAUAAAGAAGACAAUCAUCUCAACACUUUCCAAUCACAAAACCACUCCUUAAACAGCAUAGGUUUAAUGUUGACAUUCAUAGGUUCUUUUCUAUUGUUUUCUUGCUUCUUUUUUGUUGUAUUUACAAGCCUAAGGAGCAACACAACCUGAGUAUCACCGAUCGAUAUUUCUUUUACAUUGUCGUCAAAUACUCGGUUUUUGUUUUUCAGGACAGUUACAUCUUGUAUUCUGUUAAUAUAUUAGAAAGUGGGUUGUUAUUCAUCCUGAAUGACACAUUAUAUACAUUUCUCUUUCUAGGAACAAGAGAAGAGUGAUGAUAAAUAUGGAUCAUAUAUAUCUUUCUGCUAUACAAUUGAAUUAAUCGAUGCAUGUGAAUGAUAAUAUGUUUGAAGUGCAUGUGAGGUAGGAGGUUACAUAUGAGGAUGAGAUACAGAACUAAAUACUUAAAUCAUAUGAGGUUACAUAUGAUUUUGAUCUUGCUGUUCAUAAGAGUAACAACUUAAAUGAUAACGUGGAUUCUGAAAACCAUAUUACGCAUGCUCAGAACAUUGACGAUCUUGAUAAACUGAAUAAAUCUAAUAGUAUUGGUACUAAACAUGCCUUAGAUUCUGUGUCAGAGCAAAAUUAUCAUAGAAGGUUUAUUAAGUUGCAGAUUUAAACGUUUAUGUAUUAAUUGAAAGAAAAAAACAUUUUGCAUCACACAACCUACACUCACAAAAUUGAAGUUUACUGUUUUUUUUUUCAUCUUUUUAUUGCAACUUCAUACAAAACACUCUUCUCUAUUUUAUUUAGGUUUUACAACUCUUUACAGUUUUUUUUUUCAUAACCAUUUUAGCUUCAUUAAACUUUUUUUCUGAAAUUGUGGUGGGCACGAAUACAAAUUUAUUGAAAGUAUUUAUUAAAUAAACUUAAAUUAUGAAAGGAGCUUAUUUGUAAUUUUGAGAUAAUGUUUUGGUUAAGUAGAUAAUUAUAUAUUUUAUUGAUAUAUUUGGUUAAGCCGUGAUAUUUGUUAGGUACAGUUAGUCUUUGGUAUUUGGCAUUUUACAGUGCUAUUAAAAGCCAUUAGUAUUCAAUAGAAAGAAAAGACUCAAUUUUAAAGAAAUAUUAGAGUGUAGUGUGAGAUUUUUUUAACAAAGUGGUAUUGAAAAAAAAAAAAGAGAGGAGACUGAGAGAAAAAGUAAGUGUUUGAUUUUUUUUGGAGAGAGAUAACAAAGAUUAUCAAUGGUAUGAGUGUGGCACAAUUGACGAGAAACUAAUUAUAAUAAUUAGUGCCUAAAGAUCCUAAGACAUUUGGGAUAUAGUGGAAGAUGGUCACGUUGAACCUAAUGAAGAUGAACAUCAGUAGCACAGAUAACCGCGUUGAAGAAAACACAUGCAAGAGAUGGGUAACAUUGUAUUUUCUCUACAAAGUAGUAGAUGAGUCGGGAUUCCAAAAAAUAGCGAAUGUCACAUCAAGGAAGCUUGGGAGAUAUUAGAGGUUGUGUAUAAAGGUGACAACGACGUUAGACAAGUUUGAAUUCAAGCUCUCAGAUGAGAGUUUGAACCUUUCGAUCAAACAUUACAAGUCGAAGUGUUACAGUUGUGGUAAGUCCAGUCACAUUGCUAAAUUUUGUCGGGGUGAGAAGAUUAGUGAGAGAUGAAAUAAUGAAUAAAUAAAGGGUUAAACUUCAGGAAUUGAAGGCGGCGGCUCUUGAAAAGGAAGAGAAAACAUCUAGUCUUCUUGAACUAGAGGAAGAUGAAGAUGUUGAGAAAAACCCAGGUAUGAGAAGCUCAGAUAUUGAAAAGCCGGAUAAUUUGAUGAGUGAAAUUUCAAACGAAAUUAAGAAGUCGAUCAAUGUUGCUGAGAGAUCAACCAAGAUUAUUGAGAAAUCACCUAAAAAUAGAUCAAGGAAAGAAAAAUUUAAAUUUAUGAAAGAGUUUGGAUAAGUAAACUUAAAUUAUGAAAGGAGCUUAUUUGUAAUUUUGAGAGAACGUUUUGGUUAAAUAUUUAAUUAUAUUUUUUAUUGAUAUAUUUGGUUAAGUUGUGAUAUUUGUUAGGUACAGUUAUUAUUUUGUGAAUCUGACUGACCAGAUAAGUUUAUAGAUAUGUUUCUAGUUAUUAUUUUAUUUGUAAAACGGUCUUUGCUAUUUGGCAUUUUACAUGGCUAUUAAAAGCCAUCAGUAUUGAAUAGAAAGAAAAGAUUCAAUUGUAGAGAAAUAUUUAGUUUUACUGUAAAUUAAAUGAAAGUAAAACUCCAGUACUUUAAUAUCUUUUUCUACUAUAAGAGAUCCUCCUUCUCAAUGUUAUUUGCCAUAAAAAUGUAUCUAGAUUUAAAUUUAAAUAUAGAUAAGCCCCAAUACAAUAAUAGGGAGCAUGAAGCAAAAGCCCCCAUGUGAAUUACGAUUAGGUUAGACCAAAACUAAACUGACAGAUCUGGCCGAAACUAAACUAAAAGGUCUAGAAUUUUGCUAUGAAAUUGAAGUUACCUAUACAAUCAUUAUCAAAUUCUAGGAUCAAAAUUUGAAAUCAAGAUAAAAUACUUUGAUUUUUUAAAAUAUUAUGUAAUAAGUUUAAAAUCGAAAGAAAAUUAAUUAUAAAUAGUGUAACAAUAAACUCAGCUUUUAGAUGACUAAAGAGAAGAAAGAUCGAAAUUGAGAAAACAUUCACAAUUAACCUAAACGAAUAAUGUAAAAAUAAAAAAUUUUACAUUACAAGAAAUUUAGUCUAUAUUAUAAAUAGUGUAACCAUAAACAUGUAAUCAGCAUUAUUGUGAAGCAUUUGUUUGCAUUGACCUGCCGACAGUCCCAACACGCUAACAUUAUGGGAAAUUUCUAAGAACAUUAAAAGACCUGUCUAACGUAGAGUAGGGUUAUGCAUAGUGUCGAAUUUUCAGAGAAAAGAGAAAAGUUUCAAUGGUAAUAGUUAUAUUCAGUCAUCUAUUGGGUAUAGAUAANUUUUUUUAAGUACUUAAAAAAAACUUUAACUCCAUUCUACACUACUUUUUAAAUAUUUUCUCAAUUAUUAAUCAUCAUCAAUUUCAAUACCUAUUUUCACUGUAAAAAAAUUUGGUUUUUGGAGUGUCAAAGAGAUUCUUUUGAAAUAACUUAUAUGCUAUUUUUACUAUUUCUAUAAACUAGAUGAAAGUAAAACUCUAGUGCUUUAAUAAUAUAUUGAAUGUUUAUACUUUUUUCUACUAUAGGGGAUCCUCCUUCUCAAUGUUAUUUGCCAUUAAAAUGUAUCUAGAUUUAAAUUUAAAUACGGAUAAGCCCCAUUACGAUAACAGGGUGCAGGAAGCAAAAGCUCCCAUGUGAAUUACAAAUAGGCUGAGCCGAAUUAACUGCCAAGUCUAUAUUUUUGCUAAAAAAUUGAAGUUAUCCAUAGAAUCAUUAUCAAAUUCGAGGAUCAAAUUUUGAAAUCAAGAUAAAAUAUUUUUAUUUUUUAAAAUAUAAUGUAAUAAUUAAGUUUAAAAUUGAUAGAAAAUUAAUUAUAAAUAGUGUAACAAUAAACAUAUAAUCAGCUUUUAAAUGACAAAAAGAGAAGAAAGAUUAAAAUUGAGAAAAAAAAAAUCACAAUUAACCGAAAGGAAUAAUGUAAAAAUAAACAUUUUACAAGAAAUGUAGUUGCAAAAACUAUCAAAGUGCACGUACGAAUGUAAGUAGUAAAAACAAUAGUUUGAGAUCAUUAGGAAUGAAUACAACUUAGAUGAACCCAACUUAAUCAAACAAAUCAAUUUAAACUCAGUUGUUUGGAUUGGGUAUAGAAUUAUCAAAGGUGAAAAUCAAACCAUUAUUGUGUGGCUAUUGUUUGCAUUAAUAAAUAUAAUGAGACAAAUCAGAAAGACCUGAGACAGAUAUUUUCCAUUUACAGUCCCAACACGCUANCAUUUAUUAUGGGAAAUUUCUAAGAACUUGAAACUUGAUGAAGACUUGUCCAACGUAGAGCAGGGGUUAUGCAUAGUGUUGACUUUUGAUGAAAAUUGCCAAAAUUUUGACGCGCUUUAACUUACAACAGGACCCAGCGAAUUACUGUUUGGCACUUGAUUCUGCAUUGCCUUACAUUUCACUCUUCUAAUUUUAUGUUUAUAUAAAAGUUUGAUUCCAUUUACAGUCCCAACACGCUAACAAUCAUCAUUCCAGACUUUGUUCUAAUGGCAACUCCAAGUUCCCGUAGAUUCACAUACGAUGUGUUCCUCAGCUUUAGAGGGGAAGACACUCGUUAUGAUUUCACUGGUUAUCUCUACAAAGCUCUAUGUGAUGGGGGAGUUCACACUUUCAUGGAUGAUGGCAAACUUCAAAGCGGAGAGGAAAUCACACCAGCACUUCAGAAAGCAAUUCAAGAGUCUAAGAUUGCCAUCGUUAUCCUCUCUCACAACUAUGCCUCUUCCUCCUUCUGCUUGGAUGAACUUGCAACCAUCCUUGACUGCAAGAGUAAAGGGCUGUUGGUUAUACCAGUGUUUUAUAAGGUGGAUCCUUCUUAUGUCAGACAUCAGAAAGGUAGCUAUGAAGAAGCAUUGACUAAGCAUCAAAAGAGGUUCAAAGGGCAGGAGGAGAAGUUACAUAAAUGGAAAACGGCUCUGCGUCAAGUUGCUGACUUGUCUGGCUAUCACUUCGGAGAUGGGUACCCACCUUACCAAUCUUUUUAUUUUAUUGAAAAUUAUUAUACUUAUCAAGACAUGGUUUUCUAGUUUAACUUAGUUAAACUUUAAUGUUUGGAACAGGUAUGAAUACCAGUACAAGUUUAUUGGGAGCAUUGUUGAACGGGUUUCCAGGGUGAUUAAUCGUGUUCCUUUACAUGUUGCGGUUUAUCCAGUUGGCCUACCGUCACAGGUGCUGAAAGUCAAGAAACUUUUGGAUCUUGGAUCGCAUGAUGUUGUCCACAUGAUAGGGAUCCGUGGAAUGGGUGGGUUAGGAAAAACAACACUUUCUCUAGCAGUUUAUAAUUCCAUUGCUGAUGAUUUUGAUGAGUCAUGUUUUCUUCAAAAUGUAAGAGAAGAAUCAAACAAAGAGGGGCUAAAACACCUCCAAAGCAUCCUUCUUUCAAAAAUGCUUAGAGAGAAGAAUAUCAUCUUAACAAGUUGGCAAGAAGGAGCAUCANUGAUACAGGAGAGGCUGGGGCGAAAGAAGGUUCUCUUGAUUCUAGAUGAUGUUGACAACAGAAAGCAGUUACAAGCAUUUGCUGGAAGAGCUGAUUGGUUUGGUCCCGGCAGCAGGAUUAUCAUUACCACUCGGGACGAACAACUGCUAAAAUCUCAUGAGAUUGAAAGAACUUAUGAGAUGGAGGAAUUGAAUGAGAAUGAUUCUCUUCAAUUGCUUAUAUGGAAUGCUUUCAAAAGGGAAAAAGUUGAUCCGAGUUACGAGGACGUGUUGAAACGUGUAGUAACUUAUGCUUCUGGGCUUCCAUUGGCUUUAGAAGUAAUAGGUUCCAACUUGGUUGGAAAAAGUGUUGAAGAAUGGGAGUCUGCGAUUGAACAUUACAAAAGAAUUCCUAACGGUCAAAUUCUAGAGAUACUUAAAGUAAGUUUUGAUGNUUUGGGGGAAGAAGAAAAAAAUGUCUUUCUUGACAUNGCCUGUUUCUUUAAAGGAAGUAGUUUGGAAGAAGUUGAACAUAUACUUGGUAUUCUUUAUGAUAACAACAUGAAACAUCAUAUCGGGGUGUUGGUUGAAAAAUCUCUCAUAAAGGUUCGGNAUGGAAGGUUUNGUGUAAUUGAAAUGCACGACUUGAUUGAGGACAUGGGUAGAGAUAUUGACCGGCAAGAGUCACCCAAAGAGCNAGAGAACCACAGGAGAUUAUGGUUAGGGAAAGAUAUUCUUCAUGUUUUAAAACACAACAAGGUAAGUAAGCUUCAUCCAUGACUGAUAUGUUUUAUUAGCUUGAUUUAAUAUUUUUAUGUCAUCUUUUCACAUCAUAGUAUUUUUUUUUCUCUUAGCAAUUUUGCAAAGUUCUCUUAACACGUGANUUUUUUGGAUUCGUGAACGUGACUUUUGCAUUAACAGGGAACUAGCAAAACUGAAAUCAUACGCCUGGAUUUGUCUAUAUCUGAGAGAGAAGAAACGCUAGAAUGGAAUCCCAACGCCUUCAGAAGGAUGAAAAACCUUAAAAUACUUAUCAUUAGAAAUGGUNAAUUUUCCAAAGGUNCCAAUUAUCUUCCAAAAAGUUUGAGAGUACUGGAAUGGCAUGGAUACCCUUCAAAUUGUUUUCCAUCAAAUUUUGAUCCGAACAAUCUUGUGACAUGCAAGUUACCUAACAGUCAUUUUACGUCAUUUGGAUUCCUUGGCUCAGCAAAGGCAAGCUUAAAGAUUGUUUUCCUCGUCUUGUAAAUUAUUAAAAACAAUAUAAAUAUCUUAACUUGUUUUCUCUUUAUUUUCUUUGCAGAAGUUCGAAAAUCUAACUGUCUUGAAUUUUGACUGGUGCAUGUUUUUAACACAGACACCCGAUAUGUCUGAUCUCGGAAAUUUGGAGGAAGUUUCAUUUAACUGGUGUGUGAGUUUAGAUGCAGUUCAUGACUCAAUUGGUUUUAUGAGUAAACUUAAAAUACUGCAUGCGAAUCAUUGCAUCAACCUUACGAGUUUUCCACCUCUUAACUUGCCUACUCUUGAAAGCCUAGAACUUUCAUUUUGUUACAGUCUUGAGAAAUUUCCAGAAAUACUAGGAAAGAUGGGAAACAUAAGGGUACUUCAAUUGCUAGAUCUUCCCAUUAAAGAAUUGCCACUGUCGUUUCAAAAUCUUAUUGGACUCGAACAGUUAUCCUUGUCAUGUGAAAUUGUUCACUUAAGAAGUAGCAUUUUCACGAUGCCUAACUUGAUUAAGUUUAGUGUUACUAAUUGCAAGGAGUGGCAAUGGAUAAAAUCAGAAGAUGCUGAAGAUAACGUAGGCUCAGUGGUUCCUUCAAAGUUAGAUUGGUUUUCGGCCUGGUCUUGCAACCUGGAUGAUGACUUCUUUUCAGCAGGUUUCAUGCGGUUGGCACGAGUGCGUGAUUUAUAUCUACAGGACAAUAAUUUCAAACACCUUCCUGAAUGCAUCAAAGAAUUUCACAACCUCAACUCGCUUGAUGUGACUCAUUGCAAACAUCUUGAGGAAAUCAGAGGGUUUCCACCAAAAUUAAAAUAUUUCAGUGCACCACAAUGUAUAUCUUUGACUUCCACCAGCUUAGACAUGUUGCUAAAUAAGGUUUUGUCUUGCUUUUGAAUUUUUUGAUUGAUAAUACGUAGUGCUCUUAAUGUUGGUAAGCUAAUGAGUUCUUUAUGAAUUAUGUAUGACUAACAGGAACUAUACGAAGCUAGAAAAACUGCUAUCUUCACGUUUCCAGGAGAAAGUUUUCCAGAGUGGUUUGAUCUGAAGAGCAGUGGACCUUCAUGUUCUUUCUGGUUUCGUAAUAAGUUUCCUGCCAGAGUUCUUUCUCUUCUUAUUAUACAUAUGAAUAAAUAUGAAAACUUAAGUACCAUUUUUGAGGUGCACAUUAAUGGGGAAUUGCAAACAGGCGGAGGCCACUAUUUGUUGGAGGUGGCGAAAUUUGAAUUCGGUCAAACAUACCUCUCUGAUCUAAAAAUGUAUGUUAAUUUUUUUGAACAACCUUUUGGAAAGGAAUGGAAUCACGUGGAGGUUACAUAUUAUACUCCGUCAAGGAAGUCAUGGAUUAAAGCAACAGGAAUCCAUGUAUUCAAAGAGGAAAUGGAAGACAUUCGGUUUGAUGAUCCUUAUAUCGUGGAAGACAUCAUGGAAGAAGAAGAAAAGGAGGAAGAAAAGGAAGAAGGAGAAGAAAAAGAAGAAAAGGCAAAAGAAGAAGAAAAAAAAGAAAAGGCAGAAGAAGAAGAAAAUAGCAUCAUGGGACACCAUGGAAGAAGAAGGAAGAAGGGGAAAAAGAAGAAAACUGCAUCAUGGAAGACAUUCCUAGUUUGAUGAUCCAUUUACCAACAAGAAAAGGAAGAAGGGAAAGGAGAAGAGGAACAAGAAGAAAAAGAAAAAUAACAUGCAGAAGAAGAAAAUAGCUUCAUGGAAGACAUUGGAUUUGAUGAUCCUUAUAUCACGGAAGACAUCAUGGAAGAAAGAGAAUAAAAAGAAGAAAACAACAUCAUGAAAGACACCAUGAAAGAAGAAGGAAGAAGAGGAAAAAGAAGAAAACAGCAGCAUGGAAGCCAUUCGGUAUGAUGAUCCAUGUACCAACAAGAAAACCCUUCUCAAUCACAAAACCACUUGUUAAGAAUCAUAGGUUUCUUCACGUCCAAAUUUUUCAUAGACCUUUUUCUUUUUUCUUUUCGUGCUUAUGUUUUUUACUCUAUUUACUAGCCUUAGCACCAACUCAACUAGGAUAUGAGUGAGAUAAUUC